UCUGCCGCACCGGUUUCCGGGAGGCGCGGCGGCCCGGUAGCUGCCCGCGGCCCAGCCCGCCGCUCCGAGCGGGGCCUGGUGUGCAAUGAGCCGGUUCGGGAGACCCGGCAGGAGCUUCACAAGUUUCAGACAUAAGGCCUGGCUCAGGCGGAGCAGGGCCGGGACCCGUGGCCCCAGCCUUGUACCCUUGAUACUCAAGACAGCAAGCCACUCGCGAACAUGAUGGCCCCCGGGAAAGUGGGCGAGGAGGCAGCGAGCCUUGGUGGUCAGCGGCGGGUCGGGGCCGUCCCCUGGGCGGUGGGUUUGGGCCGCUACAGCCACUUGAAACACUCCUCGGAGGCAAGCCGGCUGACAUAAUCUUCUCGCCCUGGCUCCCUGGGCUCACCCUUUGUGCAGACAGGGGAGCCCGGAAACAGGGAGUUUAACACCCGAGGCCCGGACCGGACGGGUGAGCGGACAACGUGGACACUUAGUGUGUGUGCAGAGGACAGAGGAGGAGGGGAGCUGCUUGUCACUGCCUGCUCCUGGCCGGAGGCGGUGCUGGGAUUGGCGGUGGGCGGGCGCUGGGAGGGCCACCAGGGCAGGGUCACCGGGCAGGUCCCUGUGUACCUGUGCCUGUGCACGCGUGUGUGGCUGUGACCCAGUCCUCAGUAUCCAGCAUCCAAUGUCCCCUUCUACUAGCACGAGUGAUGCCGGAAGCUCACCCAGCCGCCAAGGACUCUCGCCCCGCGCCAGGCACCGUGCUAAGCAUAUGACACGGUGACUCACUUCAUCCUCCAAAAACAGUAGUUGUUAUGAUCACCCCCAUCCUACAGCCGAGGAAACGGACAGACAGACAAGUGCAGGGGCCUUGUCUCUCUCUACCCCCUGCGGGUUGUCUCCGCUGAGCUGCAGCACCCCUGCGGGACCUGCUCCGGCCGAUGACGUGGGAGGGCCAGCGGCACCCCGGCCGGGGGCUCUGGGAGCCAGGGUGCGCUCGGUGACCGACUGCUGGUGUCCAGCAUUGCUGUGCCAUCAGCCUGCACCCCGGGGGAAGGACCAGCCCCCCGCGGUCUGCCUUUGUGGGGCCGUUAUCAGAACACAGCUCAGCCUGUCUGGACGGAGUGGGAUCCAGGCCCCUCCAGCACGGUGAGGACUCAGAAGACCCCACGCCUGGACGUCUUCCCCAGUGUCUUCGCUGACUCCUUGUCCCCCCUCCCCCGCCCCCCGCCCCGUACUCCAGACAGACACGGGUCACAUCGUGCGCCCAUGCUCGUCCCUGUCAUCAGACUGAGCUCCCAGGGGCGCACUUCUGGUCUCUGGCUUCCCAGCAUUUAGCGCAGAGCCUGGGGGCACAGGAGGUGCUAAGAGCAUGUUCACGGAGUGAAUAUCUGUAGGAAAGGAUCCUGGGCACCGCAGUUACCCCGAGGGACAAAGCCCCAGGUGUCCAAGAAGGCCAGUCCACCUCUGACCCCACGUUCUUGGCAGGUGACACGGGAAGGUAAGCUAUUCCGGGAACCUGGCACCCGGGGAGUCUACCCGGCUGGCUAGCAGGAUUUGUCCCAUCGUCUCCAGGCCGUCGCAGUAAAUCAGCAGGUGCGAGGAAUUUACCCCAGAGAGUGAUCCGGCAAUGGCAUGAAUGAGUAAUUUACAAAGGCCAUUACGGCGGCACAGAAUUACUUAUUUAUGGGAACUUUUUGACAGAUCUGCGGCUUAAUCAUUUAUCCCUCCGAACAUUUAGCCAGGGUCAUUGGUAAAUAAUUCACUUAUUACA
Long non-coding RNA from Herpailurus yagouaroundi (jaguarundi), 1753 nucleotides. RefSeq lists it as uncharacterized. NCBI's taxonomy places the organism in Eukaryota, Metazoa, Chordata, Mammalia, Carnivora, Felidae. The transcript has 2 exons. The record is from RefSeq and is a predicted model, not a curated record.